UACUACAGAGGUGCAAGGGUUGUCGCUGACCUUUCCAAAAGGUCGUGCACGCCCGAGCGCUCUCAAUCCAUUUCACCCCUUGUGCAUCACCGCGCGGGGUCGCUCCCUCUUGGCUCGCUUCGAGAGGGGGAGGCUCGCGUUUUUCACACAUAAACACCCUUCUGGUUUAGAAUGUCAUUCAUUUGCGAUCACACGCAAUCAAUACAACUUUCAACAACGGAUCUCUUGGCUCUCGCAUCGAUGAAGAACGCAGCGAAAUGCGAUACGUAAUGUGAAUUGCAGAAUUCAGUGAAUCAUCGAAUCUUUGAACGCAUCUUGCGCCCCUUGGUAUUCCGAGGGGCACACCCGUUUGAGUGUCGUGAAAUUCUCAAACCUUCUUGGUUUCUCGAUCAAGAUGGCUUUGGACUUUGGAGGCAUUUUGCUGGCUUUGCGAAAAGCCAGCUCCUCUUAAAUACAUUAGUGGGGUCCCCUUUGCCGAUCCCCAGGCGUGAUAAGAUGUUUCUACGUCUCGGGAUUUGCUCUGUUCCUUGGGAACCCGCUUAUAACCGUCUCAUNNNGACAUCGUUCGAGCAUGCUCGACCCACGAACCUUG
This 592-nucleotide ribosomal RNA is filed under the name uncultured Russula. RNAcentral describes it as "eukaryotic LSU rRNA". The stretch from base 206 to 359 matches the Rfam family "5.8S ribosomal RNA". The record is from RNAcentral. Lineage: Eukaryota; Fungi; Basidiomycota; Agaricomycetes; Russulales; Russulaceae.